Molecule: long non-coding RNA, 237 nt
Filed under: Elaeis guineensis (African oil palm)
Lineage: Eukaryota; Viridiplantae; Streptophyta; Magnoliopsida; Arecales; Arecaceae
Description: long non-coding RNA (EGUI_LNC049917)
Source: RNAcentral
GGCAGUCAAGUCUAUGAUCAUUAUUUGAUAAUGAUCAAGGACAUUAAGGAGCUUGAAAGGCUCGACAUGACUGUGCAUAAGAAAUUAUUUGUGGAUUUGAUCCUGUGAACUCUGUUUAGUUUAUAUAGAUAGUUUAUCGUAAACUACCAUAUGAAAGACCAUCUUGGUAUCUUAUCUGAAUUGGUCAAAUUGUUGCUAAUAAAGAAAUCUUGAAAGAGUUCAGAGAUAAAUACCUGA